AACAGGAUUAGAUACCCUGGUAGUCCAUGCCGUAAACGAUGUCUACUAGCCGUUGGGGCCUUUGAGGCUUUAGUGGCGCAGCUAACGCGAUAAGUAGACCGCCUGGGGAGUACGGUCGCAAGACUAAAACUCAAAUGAAUUGACGGGGGCCCGCACAAGCGGUGGAGCAUGUGGUUUAAUUCGAUGCAACGCGAAGAACCUUACCUGGUCUUGACAUAGUAAGAACUUUCCAGAGAUGGAUUGGUGCCUUCGGGAACUUACAUACAGGUGCUGCAUGGCUGUCGUCAGCUCGUGUCGUGAGAUGUUGGGUUAAGUCCCGCAACGAGCGCAACCCUUUUCCUUAUUUGCCAGCACUUCGGGUGGGAACUUUAAGGAUACUGCCAGUGACAAACUGGAGGAAGGCGGGGACGACGUCAAGUCAUCAUGGCCCUUACGACCAGGGCUACACACGUGCUACAAUGGUCGGUACAAAGGGUUGCUACCUAGCGAUAGGAUGCUAAUCUCAAAAAGCCGAUCGUAGUCCGGAUUGGAGUCUGCAACUCGACUCCAUGAAGUCGGAAUCACUAGUAAUCGCGGAUCAGAAUGCCGCGGUGAAUACGUUCCCGGGCCUUGUACACACCGCCCGUCACACCAUGGGAGUUUGUUGCACCAGAAGUAGGUAGUCUAACCGUAAGGAGGACGCUUACCACGGUGUGGCCGAUGACUGGGGUGAAGUCGUAACAAGGUAACC
Molecule: ribosomal RNA, 730 nt
Filed under: uncultured bacterium
Lineage: Bacteria
Description: bacterial SSU rRNA
Rfam family: Bacterial small subunit ribosomal RNA
Source: RNAcentral